This 418-nucleotide long non-coding RNA is filed under the name Ananas comosus (pineapple). RNAcentral describes it as "long non-coding RNA (ACOM_LNC001949)". The record is from RNAcentral. Lineage: Eukaryota; Viridiplantae; Streptophyta; Magnoliopsida; Poales; Bromeliaceae.
UUGAGAAAACCAUGGUUUUCAUGGUGUUCAAGGCUCAACUUUGCUUCUAAACAUGAGAGAAGCUCCAAAACCUCAAGUUCCAUAGUGGAAAUCCAAACCCUAGAUGGGCUUUACACUAAAACUCACCUUAGGUCAAGCUCCUCCCAAGUUCCACCUUGAUGGAGAGCUUCUUGAUCCUCUAGUCCUCCAAAAUCCACCUCCAAAGCCUUCUUCUCCUUCUCCUCCAAGCUCUAGGUCAAGCUCUCUAGAGAGAGAAAGAGAGGAAAUGAGAGAGGGGGAGUGGUGGCUGUGAAAAAGAGAUAGGAAAGGUGUUUGGGAUGUUUUAUAGGAUGCUACAAUUGCAUCUAAGCUCCCCACAUUUUCAUAUUUGCAGUAAACUAACUUUGUGCUGCCAGACCCGUGUACCGGUACACUUUCU